RNAcentral lists this ribosomal RNA (608 nucleotides) under uncultured Leptotrichia sp. RNAcentral describes it as "bacterial SSU rRNA". It matches the Rfam family "Bacterial small subunit ribosomal RNA", at positions 47 to 673 of the family's 1533-position model. Lineage: Bacteria; Fusobacteriati; Fusobacteriota; Fusobacteriia; Fusobacteriales; Leptotrichiaceae. The record is from RNAcentral.
CUUAACACAUGCAAGUCAUUGGCGAAGCUGCGCUUGCGCAGUCUAGCCAGGCGGACGGGUGAGUAACGCGUAAGGAACUUGCCCUGCAGACAGGGAUAACAGACGGAAACGACUGAUAACACCUGGUACUGUCAGGCUGGCGCAUGCCGUCCUGAUGAAAGGAGACGCUGCAGGAGAGCCUUGCGUCCUAUUAGCUAGUUGGUGGGGUAACGGCCCACCAAGGCGAUGAUAGGUAGCCGGCCUGAGAGGGUGAACGGCCACAAGGGGACUGAGAUACGGCCCUUACUCCUACGGGAGGCAGCAGUGGGGAAUAUUGGACAAUGGGGGCAACCCUGAUCCAGCAAUUCUGUGUGCACGAAGAAGGUUUUCGGAUUGUAAAGUGCUUUCAGCAGGGAAGAAGAAAGUGACGGUACCUGCAGAAGAAGCGACGGCUAAAUACGUGCCAGCAGCCGCGGUAAUACGUAUGUCGCAAGCGUUAUCCGGAAUUAUUGGGCAUAAAGGGCAUCUAGGCGGCCCUGUAAGUCUAGGGUGAAAACCUGCGGCUCAACCGCAGGCCUGCCCCGGAAACUACAGGGCUAGAGUAUCGGAGAGGUGGACGGAACUGCACG